Molecule: unclassified non-coding RNA, 362 nt
Filed under: Penicillium nalgiovense
Lineage: Eukaryota; Fungi; Ascomycota; Eurotiomycetes; Eurotiales; Aspergillaceae
Description: sequence contains ITS2
Source: RNAcentral
AAAACUCCCGUAUGUUGACUCGCAGAUUCUCUGAAUCAUCCAAACUUUGAACCCACAUUGGCCCCCCUGGGAUUCCGGGAGGCAUGCCUGGCCGAACGGCCUUGCUGCCCUCAAACCCGGCUUGUGGGUGGGGACCCGUCCUCCGAUCCCGGGGGAUAGGCCCUAAAUUCAAAGGGGGUACCGCGACCGGUCCUCGAGCGUAUGGGGCUUUGUUACCCGCUCUGUAGGCCCGGCCGGCGCUUGACGAUCAACCCAAAUAUUUAUCCAAGUUGACCUCGGAUUAGGUAGGGAUACCCGUUGAAUUUAAGCAUAUCAAUAAGCGGAGAAACCGGGGCCGGAAAAAGUUGAAAAGUCUCCCCCCC